GAGUUUGAUCCNGGCUCAGAGUGAACGCUGGCGGCGUGCUUAACACAUGCAAGUCGAACGAGAACGGUCCUAGCUUGCUAGGAUGUCAGCUAAGUGGCGGACGGGUGAGUAAUGUAUAGUUAAUCUGCCCUUUAGAGAGGAAUAACUACUGGAAACGGUAGCUAAUACCUCAUACUCCUUCUUUAUUAAUUAAAGUUGGGAAAUGUUUUUUCGCUAAAGGAUGAGACUAUAUGGUAUCAGGUAGUUGGUGGGGUAAGAGCCUACCAAGCCAAUGACGCCUAGCUGGUCUGAGAGGAUGAUCAGCCACACUGGAACUGAGACACGGUCCAGACUCCUACGGGAGGCAGCAGUGGGGAAUAUUGCACAAUGGAGGAAACUCUGAUGCAGCAACGCCGCGUGGAGGAUGAC
This 408-nucleotide ribosomal RNA is filed under the name uncultured prokaryote. Its description in RNAcentral is "bacterial SSU rRNA". It matches the Rfam family "Bacterial small subunit ribosomal RNA", at positions 9 to 412 of the family's 1533-position model. The record is from RNAcentral.